RNAcentral lists this ribosomal RNA (293 nucleotides) under uncultured prokaryote. RNAcentral's name for it is "partial 16S ribosomal RNA". It matches the Rfam family "Archaeal small subunit ribosomal RNA", at positions 455 to 747 of the family's 1478-position model. The record is from RNAcentral.
GUGCCAGCCGCCGCGGUAAUACCGGCAGCACGAGUGAUGACCGCUAUUAUUGGGCCUAAAGCGUCCGUAGCUGGCCACGCAAGUUCAUCGGGAAAUCUGCGCGCUUAACGCGCAGGCGUCCGGUGGAAACUGCAUGGCUUGGGACCGGAAGACCAGAGGGGUACGUCCGGGGUAGGAGUGAAAUCCCGUAAUCCUGGACGGACCACCGGUGGCGAAAGCGCCUCAGGAGAACGGAUCCGACAGUGAGGGACGAAAGCUAGGGUCUCGAACCGGAUUAGAUACCCCCGUAGUCC